RNAcentral lists this long non-coding RNA (298 nucleotides) under Cavia porcellus (domestic guinea pig). Its description in RNAcentral is "lncRNA (ENSCPOG00000035837.1)". The record is from RNAcentral. Lineage: Eukaryota; Metazoa; Chordata; Mammalia; Rodentia; Caviidae.
UCACAUUCUCAUUUGUUGGUAAGAUGAUCCUCAAUACAGUUUAUGAUGUCCAUUUAGGUGGAAUCAUAAGCUUCGGUAGUCAUGGGAUGAACUGGCAGGAGCAGCAUAUUGACUGGGGCACUACAGCGUGAUGUCCAACAUUAUGGGAAUGAGCAGGAAAGCAGAUCUCCAUCAUGGUAACAGCAGAGACAUGAAAUGGACUAAGAGAGGAGUACAGAGAAUACGCAGUGAGUACAGAAAGAUCACAAAGAAUGGGCAGAGUCCUGGCAGUUGUAUUUCCCAAAUUAAUAAAGUAGCA